This 404-nucleotide long non-coding RNA is filed under the name Malus domestica (apple). Its description in RNAcentral is "long non-coding RNA (MDOM_LNC017871)". Lineage: Eukaryota; Viridiplantae; Streptophyta; Magnoliopsida; Rosales; Rosaceae. The record is from RNAcentral.
ACCAAGCCCACCUCACAAUGAUAUGAUGUUGGCUAGCAUCAAUAAUAAUGAGAGAGUACGCUUACUUAUUUGCAUCUCUUGCAAGUACCCAUCUUAUUUGGCCUCUAGAGAAUGAAGCCUCACAAUGAUAUGAUUUGGCUCCAUUGCACUUAGUUAAGUCAUUCCCACCAUGCAAGUUCGAGUAGGGGUUCAAGAACAACCUCACAAUGAUAUGAUGCUGAUCAUUGUCGUUGCCUACCUUCACAACAUCAUGUAUGCGUAUAGAACUCCUCCUAAGUGUAAGCACGCACUUUGUACUCCCCCGUGAUAGGGUGAAGUCGGUGUACGAGUCACAAACGAUCGAAGCCUACCACGGUGGAAGGCCACGAAAGAGUGUUCAAAGCACUCUCACGCUUAUCAACUUA